GCUGCGGAAAACAGUGCCCGAGGCUCCAGCUGCCCUCUCUUUGUCCCCUCAGGACACAGAGAAGACCAGGGGGCCAUGCUGGCAGGGGAUUGAAUUGCAGGAGAAUGGGGGAGACCCCUUGUUCAACAGAGCUCUGUUCGUUUCGCUCUCACUAAAGGGUGAGUGGUUACCUGGAGGUCCAUGUCGUACCGGAAGACAGAAGCUGCCCUCUGCCUUAGCCACACUGCACUGUCCCCUGGCACACACACCCUCCUGUCACUGAGGAAGGAGAAACGCAAGAUGCCACAUGCACACCCAAGUCGGCUCGCCUGGGGCGGGGGCUGCCGCACGCGGGGCCGGAUCCUCGGUGCUGCAGGAAGCCAAGGCCAGGGGCUGAGCUGCACACGCCUCAGCUUGCCCAGGGGGAGGGCAAACUCCAGUUUCCCUUCCAACUUUUUCUUUCAAGGAAGGGGAGACAAGGCACGGGCAUUCCCCGCCCUGGACGCAGUACACCCACCCACCGGCUGCUGCCCGCGGCACCCUCGACAGGGCUGGGGGCCGGGCCACGGGGGCUCCUGUCUCUCGGAUGCCCAGGCAGCCAUCAAGGCUCUUCUGCAGUGCAAGAGCUGGGCUUGGCACCAACGUCCCAGCCCGGCACACGCCAGAACCUUCCCAGACAGAAAACUAAGCCCUAGGAGAAGAAAUGCCUUCCCUGGAGUCGCGAAGCCAGCAGCUCGCUCCCGACAUGGACGCUGGACAGCCUCUGGCAACACCCCACCUGGUGGAUCCUCAGAGCCCGCACCUGCAAAAUGAGCUUCACGUGGGUCCUGGUGGGGGUGGGUGAGGUGGUGACGCCAAGGCACUCAACGGCCGGGGGGGGGGGGCUUCUUCCUCAUCCCCAGCUCCAGCUGUGUUUUUCACUCCCUGCACAGCCUGGAAUCUCGGGAGUGCAGGACCCAGAGCCGCACGGGCCAGCAGGAAACCAGCUCAUUUCUAACUCUCUGGGUCAUCCACAGACAGCCGGCUGUGCCCCCUGAGCCUCUCCAAAACUGAAAUCCCAGCAGUCCCGUGCCCUCCAAGGACGCAGCUGGUCAAGCCAUUUGUGGGGCCCACUUCAAAACACAAACGUGGAAGUAUGAUUAAGAAUUCGGGACACUGGGGCCAGCGCUGUGGCGUAACGGGUAAAAGCUGCCACCUGCAGUGCCGGCACCCCAUAGAGGCACUGGUUCAAGUCCUGGCUGCUCCACUUCUGAUCCAGCUCUCUGCUAUAGCCUGGGAAAGCAGCAGAAGACGGCCCAAGUCCUUGGGCCCCUGCACCCAUGUGGGAGACCUGGAAGAAGCUCCUGGCUCCUGGCUUCAGAUUGGUGCAGCUCUGGCCAUUGUGGCCACUUGGGGAGUGAAUCAGUGGAUGGAAGACCUCUCUCUCUCUCUCUCUCUCUCUCUCUCUCUGCCUCUCCUUCUCUCUGUGUGUUACUCUGACUUUCAAAUAAAUAAAGAAAUCUUUGGGGGAAAAAAAGAAUU
RNAcentral lists this long non-coding RNA (1500 nucleotides) under Oryctolagus cuniculus (rabbit). RNAcentral describes it as "lncRNA (ENSOCUG00000030268.1)". Lineage: Eukaryota; Metazoa; Chordata; Mammalia; Lagomorpha; Leporidae. The record is from RNAcentral.